CACAAAUCAUCUAUGGAUAGCCCUGUCAAGCCUCACCCGACCCCGGGUGAGGAGUACGAAAACUCUAGGAGCCCUUAUCCUACAACCCUGAUACUAGACCUCCAGACUCUCCUAUCAAAGGCCAUAUCCUCGGAAACCCGCACUCUAGCCAUGUCAUGCCUAAUCCCCUAUCCCCAAUACCUCUUAUGCCUCCCUCUGCCUCGUCGUACGCCGACCAUCGCCAGCCGCUCACAACUCCUCACCGGGGCAU
RNAcentral lists this long non-coding RNA (250 nucleotides) under Nicotiana benthamiana. Its description in RNAcentral is "long non-coding RNA (NBEN_LNC001275)". Lineage: Eukaryota; Viridiplantae; Streptophyta; Magnoliopsida; Solanales; Solanaceae. The record is from RNAcentral.